GAUGAACGCUGGCGGCGUGCCUAAUACAUGCAAGUCGAGCGAACAGACGAGGAGCUUGCUCCUCUGACGUUAGCGGCGGACGGGUGAGUAACACGUGGAUAACCUACCUAUAAGACUGGGAUAACUUCGGGAAACCGGAGCUAAUACCGGAUAAUAUAUUGAACCGCAUGGUUCAAUAGUGAAAGACGGUUUUGCUGUCACUUAUAGAUGGAUCCGCGCCGCAUUAGCUAGUUGGUAAGGUAACGGCUUACCAAGGCAACGGUGCGUAGCCGACCUGAGAGGGUGAUCGGCCACACUGGAACUGAGACACGGUCCAGACUCCUACGGGAGGCAGCAGUAGGGAAUCUUCCGCAAUGGGCGAAAGCCUGACGGAGCAACGCCGCGUGAGUGAUGAAGGUCUUCGGAUCGUAAAACUCUGUUAUUAGGGAAGAACAAAUGUGUAAGUAACUAUGCACGUCUUGACGGUACCUAAUCGGAAAGCCACGGCUAACUACGUG
Molecule: ribosomal RNA, 497 nt
Filed under: uncultured bacterium
Lineage: Bacteria
Description: partial 16S ribosomal RNA
Rfam family: Bacterial small subunit ribosomal RNA
Source: RNAcentral